Molecule: unclassified non-coding RNA, 358 nt
Filed under: soil metagenome
Description: partial contains 5.8S ribosomal RNA, internal transcribed spacer 2, and large subunit ribosomal RNA
Rfam family: 5.8S ribosomal RNA (bases 1-120)
Source: RNAcentral
GAUGAAGAACGUAGCGAAAUGCGAUAAGUAAUGUGAAUUGCAGAAUUCAGUGAAUCAUCGAAUCUUUGAACGCACAUUGCGCCCGUCAGUAUUCUGGCGGGCAUGCCUGUUCGAGCGUCAUUACGCCCCUCAAGUCCCCUGUGGACUUGGUGUUGGGGAUCGGCGAGGCUGGUUUUCCAGCACAGCCGUCCCUUAAAUUAAUUGGCGGUCUCGCCGUGGCCCUCCUCUGCGCAGUAGUAAAACACUCGCAACAGGAGCCCGGCGCGGUCCACUGCCGUAAAACCCCCCAACUUUUUAUAGUUGACCUCGAAUCAGGUAGGACUACCCGCUGAACUUAAGCAUACCAAUAAGCGGAGGA